AGAGUUUGAUCCUGGCUCAGGAUGAACGCUGGCGGCGUGCUUAACACAUGCAAGUCGAGCGAAGCACUUUUUUAGCACUCUUCGGAGGGAAGAGAGGGUGACUUAGCGGCGGACGGGUGAGUAACACGUAUGCAACCUGCCCGUGACAGUGGGAUAAUCCGGAGAAAUCCGGUCUAAUACCGCAUGAUCCCCUGUGGAGACAUCUCCACGGGGGCAAAGGAAGUAAUUCCGGUCACGGAUGGGCAUGCGUCGCAUUAGCUGGUUGGCGGGGUAACGGCCCACCAAGGCGACGAUGCGUAGGGGUUCUGAGAGGAAGGUCCCCCACACUGGUACUGAGACACGGACCAGACUCCUACGGGAGGCAGCAGUGAGGAAUAUUGGUCAAUGGGUGCGAGCCUGAACCAGCCAAGUCGCGUGAGGGAAGACGGUCCUAUGGAUUGUAAACCUCUUUUGCCGGGGAGCAAAAGGAGCCACGUGUGGCUCAUCGAGAGUACCCGGAGAAAAAGCAUCGGCUAACUCCGUGCCAGCAGCCGCGGUAAUACGGAGGAUGCGAGCGUUAUCCGGAUUUAUUGGGUUUAAAGGGUGCGUAGGCGGGACCUUAAGUCAGCGGUUAAAUCGCGGGGCUCAACCUCGCUCUGCCGUUGAAACUGGGGUCCUUGAGUGGGCGAGAAGUACGCGGAAUGCGUGGUGUAGCGGUGAAAUGCAUAGAUAUCACGCAGAACUCCGAUUGCGAAGGCAGCGUACCGGCGCCCUACUGAUGCUGAAGCACGAAAGCGUGGGUAUCGAACAGGAUUAGAUACCCUGGUAGUCCACGCAGUAAACGAUGAAUGCUAAUUGUGUGCCCCGACUGAGGGGUGCGUGAUAAAGCGAAAGCGUUAAGCAUUCCACCUGGGGAGUACGCCGGCAACGGUGAAACUCAAAGGAAUUGACGGGGGCCCGCACAAGCGGAGGAACAUGUGGUUUAAUUCGAUGAUACGCGAGGAACCUUACCCGGGCUCAAACGCAGGAGGGAUGUUUUUGAAAGGAGGCAGCUCUUCGGAGCCUCCUGCGAGGUGCUGCAUGGUUGUCGUCAGCUCGUGCCGUGAGGUGUCGGCUUAAGUGCCAUAACGAGCGCAACCCCCACCGACAGUUGCCAUCAGGUCAGGCUGGGCACUCUGUCGGGACUGCCGGCGCAAGCUGUGAGGAAGGCGGGGAUGACGUCAAAUCAGCACGGCCCUUACGUCCGGGGCGACACACGUGUUACAAUGGCAGGCACAGCGGGAAGCCACCUGGCGACAGGGAGCGGAACCCGAAAUCCUGUCUCAGUUCGGAUUGGAGUCUGCAACCCGACUCCAUGAAGCUGGAUUCGCUAGUAAUCGCGCAUCAGCCACGGCGCGGUGAAUACGUUCCCGGGCCUUGCACACACCGCCCGUCAAG
RNAcentral lists this ribosomal RNA (1416 nucleotides) under uncultured bacterium. RNAcentral's name for it is "bacterial SSU rRNA". It matches the Rfam family "Bacterial small subunit ribosomal RNA". The record is from RNAcentral.